GAUAAAACUUUGAAGAGGAAAGUAAUUCAGCAAGAUAAUCCAGAGAAGAGCCGUGUGCUGGGAAGGUUCUGUAUCAAACUGUAUGAAGACCGCCUCCGAGUGGCUCUAAUAAAGCACGUUGACUGCGUUAUAGUCUUAGUAAGUGGUAAAACAAGACAGCAGGUAGGUCCUGUGCUGAGUGUUGUCUUACAAACAGGGUGGAACCGCGGUGAUAUAUCGUCCCUGAA
RNAcentral lists this non-coding RNA (227 nucleotides) under Johnsonella ignava. RNAcentral's name for it is "T-box sequence". It matches the Rfam family "T-box leader". From Rfam's summary of the family: Uncharged tRNA acts as the effector for transcription antitermination of genes in the T-box leader family. T-boxes are found upstream of many aminoacyl-tRNA synthetase genes and some amino acid biosynthetic genes usually in Gram-positive bacteria. Lineage: Bacteria; Bacillati; Bacillota; Clostridia; Lachnospirales; Lachnospiraceae. The record is from RNAcentral.